This 235-nucleotide ribosomal RNA is filed under the name uncultured bacterium. RNAcentral describes it as "partial 16S ribosomal RNA". It matches the Rfam family "Bacterial small subunit ribosomal RNA", at positions 99 to 334 of the family's 1533-position model. The record is from RNAcentral.
CGGACGGGUGAGUAACGCGUGGGUAACCUGCCUUGUACUGGGGGACAACAGUUAGAAAUGACUGCUAAUACCGCAUAAGCGCACAGUAUCGCAUGAUACAGUGUGAAAAACUCCGGUGGUACAAGAUGGACCCGCGUCUGAUUAGCUAGUUGGUAAGGUAACGACUUACCAAGGCGACGAUCAGUAGCCGACCUGAGAGGGUGACCGGCCACAUUGGGACUGAGACACGGCCCAA